UAUAGUUUCAUUAUUAUUUGUAUGAUUAAAUCAGUAUCGUAUUGAAUCAUUAAACGAGUUUAUCUUAAAUUACAGUGAAAGAAUAAUGAAAUACCAUGUCAAAUUUUUCCAAAAAGUACACGUCAAUGACAAAAUAUCUUCGUUAUUUGCAUCGCCAGAGAUCAAACAGUUUUCUUGAGUUUCAACUGCGAAAAUAACAAUUUACUGUUAAUUUAAUAAAUGUAAACCAUGUUAUAAAAUUAUUAUAUUAUAAAA
Molecule: non-coding RNA, 255 nt
Organism: Hydra vulgaris (swiftwater hydra)
Lineage: Eukaryota; Metazoa; Cnidaria; Hydrozoa; Anthoathecata; Hydridae
Source: RefSeq, a predicted model, not a curated record